UACGAAGGGUGCAAACGUUGCUCGGAAUUAUUGGGCGUAAAGCGCACGUAGGCGGCUUAGCAAGUCGGAAGUGAAAUCCCUCGGCUCAACCAAGGAAGUGCUUUCGAAACUGCUGAGCUUGAGUACUUAAGAGGAUCGCGGAAUUCCCGGUGUAGAGGUGAAAUUCGUAGAUAUCGGGAGGAACACCAGUGGCGAAGGCGGCGUCUGG
RNAcentral lists this ribosomal RNA (208 nucleotides) under uncultured bacterium. RNAcentral's name for it is "partial 16S ribosomal RNA". It matches the Rfam family "Bacterial small subunit ribosomal RNA", at positions 524 to 732 of the family's 1533-position model. The record is from RNAcentral.